AACGAACGCUGGCGGCAUGCCUAACACAUGCAAGUCGAACGAGAUCUUCGGGUCUAGUGGCGCACGGGUGCGUAACGCGUGGGAAUCUGCCCUUUGGUUCGGAAUAACAGUUGGAAACGACUGCUAAUACCGGAUGAUGACGAAAGUCCAAAGAUUUAUCGCCAGAGGAUGAGCCCGCGUAGGAUUAGCUAGUUGGUGUGGUAAAGGCGCACCAAGGCGACGAUCCUUAGCUGGUCUGAGAGGAUGAUCAGCCACACUGGGACUGAGACACGGCCCAUACUCCUACGGGAGGAAGCAGUGGGGAAUAUUGGACAAUGGGCGAAAGCCUGAUCCAGCAAUGCCGCGUGAGUGAUGAAGGCCUUAGGGUUGUAAAGCUCUUUUACCCGGGAUGAAAAUGACAGUACCGGGAGAAUAAGCUCCGGCUAACUCCGUGCCAGCAGCCGCCGCCG
RNAcentral lists this ribosomal RNA (449 nucleotides) under uncultured bacterium. Its description in RNAcentral is "partial 16S ribosomal RNA". It matches the Rfam family "Bacterial small subunit ribosomal RNA", at positions 29 to 523 of the family's 1533-position model. The record is from RNAcentral.